ACAGAUCGUUCAGAGUUUGAUCCUGGCUCAGGAUGAACGCUGGCGGCGUGCCUAAUACAUGCAAGUAGAACGCUGAAGACUUUAGCUUGCUAGAGUUGGAAGAGUUGCGAACGGGUGAGUAACGCGUAGGUAACCUGCCUAUUAGCGGGGGAUAACUAUUGGAAACGAUAGCUAAUACCGCAUAAUAGUGUUUAACACAUGUUAGAGACUUGAAAGAUGCAAUUGCAUCACUAGUAGAUGGACCUGCGUUGUAUUAGCUAGUUGGUGGGGUAACGGCCUACCAAGGCGACGAUACAUAGCCGACCUGAGAGGGUGAUCGGCCACACUGGGACUGAGACACGGCCCAG
This 347-nucleotide ribosomal RNA is filed under the name uncultured bacterium. Its description in RNAcentral is "bacterial SSU rRNA". It matches the Rfam family "Bacterial small subunit ribosomal RNA", at positions 1 to 334 of the family's 1533-position model. The record is from RNAcentral.